GGAGGAUCCGAGCGUUAUCCGGAUUUAUUGGGUUUAAAGGGAGCGUAGAUGGGUUGUUAAGUCAGUUGUGAAAGUUUGCGGCUCAACCGUAAAAUUGCAGUUGAUACUGGCAGUCUUGAGUACAGUAGAGGUGGGCGGAAUUCGUGGUGUAGCGGUGAAAUGCUUAGAUAUCACGAAGAACUCCGAUUGCGAAGGCAGCUCACUGGAGCGCAACUGACGCUGAAGCUCGAAAGUGCGGGUAUCGAACAGGAUUAGAUACCCUGGUAGUCCGCACGGUAAACGAUGGAUGCCCGCUGUUGGUCUGAAUAGGUCAGCGGCCAAGCGAAAGCAUUAAGCAUCCCACCUGGGGAGU
This 352-nucleotide ribosomal RNA is filed under the name uncultured bacterium. RNAcentral describes it as "bacterial SSU rRNA". It matches the Rfam family "Bacterial small subunit ribosomal RNA", at positions 527 to 881 of the family's 1533-position model. The record is from RNAcentral.